UACCUCAGUAACGGCGAGUGAAGCGGUAACAGCUCAAAUUUGAAAUCUGGUCCUUUCAGGGCCCGAGUUGUAAUUUGUAGAAGAUGCUUUGGGUGUGGCCCCGGUCUAAGUUCCUUGGAACAGGACGUCAUAGAGGGUGAGAAUCCCGUAUGUGACUGGGUGCUUUCGCCCGUGUAAAGCUCUUUCGACGAGUCGAGUUGUUUGGGAAUGCAGCUCUAAAUGGGUGGUAUAUUUCAUCUAAAGCUAAAUAUUGGCCAGAGACCGAUAGCGCACAAGUAGAGUGAUCGAAAGAUGAAAAGCACUUUGGAAAGAGAGUUAAACAGUACGUGAAAUUGUUGAAAGGGAAGCGCUUGCAACCAGACUCGCAUGCCGUCGAUCAUCCUGGGUUCUCCCUGGUGCACUCGGCGGCGUUCGGGCCAGCAUCGGUUUUGGUGGCGGGAUAAAGGCCUUGGGAAUGUAGCUCCUCUCGGGGAGUGUUAUAGCCCUCGGUGCAAUGCCGCCUACCGGGACCGAGGACCGCGCUUCGGCUAGGAUGCUGGCGUAAUGGUUGUAAGCGACCCGUCUUGAAACACGGACCAAGGAGUCUAACAUCUAUGCGAGUAUUUGGGUGUCAAACCCAUAUGCGUAAUGAAAGUGAACGGAGGUGAGAACCCUUUAGGGUGCAUCAUCGACCGAUCCUGAUGUCUUCGGAUGGAUUUGAGUAAGAGCAUAGCUGUUGGGACCCGAAAGAUGGUGAACUAUGCCUAAAUAGGGUGAAGCCAGAGGAAACUCUGGUGGAGGCUCGCAGCGGUUCUGACGUGCAAAUCGAUCGUCAAAUUUGGGUAUAGGGGCGAAAGACUAAUCGAACCAUUGAACUACUAGGUGGUCAAGAGAGGCCGCGAGAGCGGCGCCUAGUCCUAGGUCAUAGGGCAACAUUAUCAAAUUGUACGGGGACGUCCCGCUCUAAAUCCAAGCUACCGCAGCUGUCUCGAAAGAGCAGCGCGCACCAGGUUAACGACCUCGGGGAUGGUAACAACGCGAGGAUAGGGAUAAUCCGCAGCCAAGUCCUAACAGUGGUUCCCACUCACGGAUGCAGUUCACAGACUAAAUGGUAAUGGGCCCGGGUUCCACGGAGCCUGGGUUUAAGUUAUAGUCGAGCCGCCAGGAGACUGGUCACCGCAGAGGAAUGNCCUNGAGAUGACCUUCGUCUAGGGCAGGAGAGCUGUGGAGGGGGGCUGCCGUCUGGCA
Molecule: ribosomal RNA, 1227 nt
Filed under: Incrucipulum ciliare
Lineage: Eukaryota; Fungi; Ascomycota; Leotiomycetes; Helotiales; Lachnaceae
Description: partial large subunit ribosomal RNA
Rfam family: Eukaryotic large subunit ribosomal RNA
Source: RNAcentral